AAAUGAAUAGACGGGGACCCGCACAAGCAGCGGAGCAUGUGGUUUAAUUCGAAGCAACGCGAAAAACCUUACCAAGACUUGACAUCCUACGCCGUACUUAGAGAUAAGUAUUUCCUUCGGGACGUAGAGACAGGUGGUGCAUGGUUGUCGUCAGUUCGUGUCGUGAGAUGUUGGGUUAAGUCCCGCAACGAACGCAACCCUUAUCGCCAGUUGCCAAUAUUUAGUUAGGAACUCUGGCGAGACUGCCGUAGACAAUACGGAGGAAGGUGGGGAUGAUGUCAAAUCAUCAUGCCCCUUACGUCUUGGGCUACACACGUGCUACAAUGGCUAUAACAAAGAGCAGCAAACCCGUAAGGGGAAGCGAAUCUCAAAAAGAUAGUCUCAGUUCGGAUUGAGGGCUGCAACCCGCCCUCAUGAAGUCGGAGUUGCUAGUAAUCCCGAAUCAGCAUGUCGGGGUGAAUACGUUCCCGGGUCUUGUACACACCGCCCGU
Molecule: ribosomal RNA, 491 nt
Filed under: uncultured bacterium
Lineage: Bacteria
Description: bacterial SSU rRNA
Rfam family: Bacterial small subunit ribosomal RNA
Source: RNAcentral